Long non-coding RNA from Photinus pyralis (common eastern firefly), 1495 nucleotides. RefSeq lists it as uncharacterized. NCBI's taxonomy places the organism in Eukaryota, Metazoa, Arthropoda, Insecta, Coleoptera, Lampyridae. The record is from RefSeq and is a predicted model, not a curated record. The transcript has 3 exons.
UUUGUGUAGGAAAAAUGAAGCCACCGCUACCGUAAUUAACGCUGCAAUUAAUCCGCAACCGUGCUCGUCCAGAUAUUUCGACGGGAUUUGUUGCGUCCGCACUGGUCAUUCGGAAGAAGAGGGCAAAUUAAAAUUUUAGAAUUUCAGCCAUGAUUCAGACAUUAGAAGGUUUUAUUUCUUAAAACGAGCAUUGGAACUGCAAGGCCAUGAGCCGACCACGCCGGUUGAUGCCGACAUUCCAAUAACAACGGGUAUUAAUUGGAUACGAAUUCUGGAAAUUUGAAUACGGCAAAUUAAGUAAGCACAAUUAACGAUUGAGAUUUAAAUGAGUUGUAGACCUGUCCGAUUGAGCUGGCCCUAAUCUCAAAAACAGCGCUCUUAAUUAACUUGAAUUUUGACACCGAUCCCGUAUUUUUAAGCCGCCUGGGAAAGACGUAAUUAAUUAAAGAAGUUUUUCGCAAGGUAAGCCGUCGAGCUGGGGAAAACCGCCGAUCCUGCUAUGGCACAGUCCAAUUUUAUAAGGUAAACGUUUGAUUUAGAGGGAAUCUUUUGAUUUUUACGUGUAACCGAAUAGCAAGCUUAUCUUUUGCUAUUUUUACUUGCCGUAAUACGUUUUAUUAAGUUUACCGCACCGUAUUUGGAUCUUUUUUCCUUUUGCACAUUCAUACCAAUGCCGAGCGAGCCGAAGGCGAGACCGACAUAAACCAACCGCUCUCCCGAAAUUUUGGACCGUGUUAUAGGGUUCCUGUCAUAAAACACAGAGUUCAUACCAAUGCCGAGCGAGCCGAAGGCGAGGUCAACAUAAACCGACCGCCCGUCCGAAAUUAUGGAGCGUGUUGGACGGUUUCAGGCACCAAACGUAUCCUACCAAUGCCGAGCGAGGUGCAGAGAAGAUCGGAACAAAUCAACCGCUCGUCCACAUUUAGGGGUCGGUAUACGGCUCCCGUUACAAAAUGCGAAGUAUAUACUAAUGCCGAAUGAGACGAAAGCGAGCUCUUGCUAUGGCGAGCUAUGUCGAUCUGUCACAACGAAAAUGGCUCACAUUUUUUUGCAUACCAUAGCUCUUCCGUAAAUAGCAAACGACAUCAAACAUCAAACCUAGUAAAAAACGACGAUUUUUGUAAAAACGUAGAAGUAUGUAAAAUGGUGAUUCAUUACCAUUAUAUUCCACGCGAAGCAUUUGUAAUUAAGAUUCCUUUAUUUAAUUGUCUGUCGAACGACUGCGUGCGUGGUAUGUGUAAAAAACAGGCCCAAGAGCCUCUCUCUUCUUCAGCUUUGUCAAUUUGUGUGAAUCUCGAAUAAAUAUAAUUUUAUUUGUCAAUGAACAAUUCUGUGUCUAAUCGAACCCGAAAUUUUACAACCAGGGUUGCUGCCCUGUCAAGUUAAAUUUGAUAUUCCUGUUUUGUGGGUGGCUUUGAGAUCGUUUGCUACUGCACACUACAAUAUAUGUUUAUAAUUUUGCUAGUAAUUAUGCAUCAAUAAAUAUAUUUUUGUA